RNAcentral lists this ribosomal RNA (292 nucleotides) under uncultured eukaryote. RNAcentral's name for it is "partial 18S ribosomal RNA". It matches the Rfam family "Eukaryotic small subunit ribosomal RNA", at positions 6 to 292 of the family's 1831-position model. The record is from RNAcentral.
GGUUGAUCCUGCCAGUAGUCAUAUUCUUGUCUCAAAGAUUAAGCCAUGCAUGUCUAUGUACAUGCCGUAUUAAGGCGAAACCGCGAAUGGCUCAUUAAAUCAGUUACGGUUCAUUAGAGCUUGAGCCCAUUUACAUGGAUAACUGUGGUAAUUCUAGAGCUAAUACAUGCACAAAAGCCUUGACCAAACCGUGGCAACACGGCCCAAAGGGAAAGGCGCAUUUAUUAGACCAAGACCAAUGGGAACAUUAAGGGUUGUGGUGCCCGGAGGCCGGUUCACGCCGGUCUUCGCA